CUCGCUUACACCUAUACUACAACUCUCACCUAUAGCGUCCUAUAGAUUAGAAUACUCAAAAGAGUUGUGAACCAGAACAUACAUAAUUAGUAAUUGCAUAAUGAAUUAGAAGUAGAUUACCAGAGUCAUCCCAUGAGCAAGCUUGAUUAGAGCUUGAUCAUGACGAACUACAACCGGAGGAAGAACCGACAGGCCGGCCUCUCCUCCAAUCCUCCCUCGCUGUCCAUCUUGCUACUAUCUAGAUCUACUCUAGUUUAGAGAAGAGAGGAGAGCUCUCAUCUCUAAACCCUAGCUUUUGCUCUAUCUAUGAAUAAUGAAUAAUGAUCAAGGGGAGCCUCCUCCAGGGGCCAGGGGGUCUAGUUAUAUAGUCCCCUCAAUUGAACCUGGGCCGUCGGAUCAAACCGACAUUGAUUGAACGGUUAUUCUUGAUCCUUUAGGUCGGUGGAGAUCUCCCGAGAGAAAGAGUCCCGAUUGGACUCCAGAGGUGGGCGGGCGCCCAGGGAAACAGGGCGGGCGCCCUGCCUCUGGCCCCUCUCGGCCUCCCGUUCGUUCCCGUGGCUUCUGGAGUCUUUUAGAUGUAAGAUAAUUGUGCGGCACGUUAAUAUCUCUAUGUAAUCCCGACUUGUGGGCCUUUCUUUCGUAUUUCCUGAUAACCCCCUACAGAAAUAGACAAACACCAAAACUCGUGGAAUUCUGUCAGAUAAAACCCUAAGUCUAGAUGUUGAUUUCAUUUGGAUCCUUUUCUUUGUUUUUUUGAUAAUUAAAUUUGAUACUUAAGGACCGUCAACAAACUCCCCCAAGCUUACCUCUUGCUCGUCUCUGAGCAAGGAUAGACUCAGCAAUGGAUCAGAAGUUGUUGCAAUAUUUUAAAAAUUUGACGGUACACAUGCUUUUAAAUAAGAUCUCAUCUCUGAGUUAGAGUAAACUGUCAAGAACUGAAACUUACUUACUUUACCUUUCACCAUGGGACUUGUAACCGUCACUUCUGUCUUGAGUAGUUAAAAGAUAGAACAGUCUAGCCAAGUGCCAUGUCUCUUAUUCUUGAUCAGCUAUAGCUCUGGAGUUUUCGCAGAUUUUCAAAUAAAACUCAGAGAUUCCUUGUAUGACUAUCUAAAUCUCUCUUUUGUGGUAUUUCUGGAUCCUUACCAAGGCAGUGAUGGUAUAUGCCUUCUCUCAAGAUAUGUGGUAUUUGUGGUAUAAGGCAUAGUGACAUUGCCUUCUCGCUCACCCUACUUUAAUAAGGCUUCAAUAUCUGGAGCUCAUAGGUGGGAGAUAAAGUAUACAUACUUACAAGACAUUUAUUGUAUAGUCAAACCAUGGAUCCAAAUAAACAAAUCAAUAAGCCAAAUCAAGAUGUGCAUGUGUGGCGAAUGAAUGGUGUAUGGUGAUUAUGGUGAUAACAAUGGUGAAAGUCUAAUUCUACUUUUGCUCUUUUGAGGGGAUACAUACCUUCCUUGCUUUUUGAAACUUUAUGAGGAGAAUGAGAUGCUCUUCUUUUUCUUUCCUCUUAGGUGGGUAUCUUGUACCCCUAAUUCUACUGUCGGACACUUGUCCAUUUUUACCUCUCGUCUCACUUUUUCUUUCUUUCGAGGUUCCGGGCACUUGCCCCUUUUUAUUUCCUCGUUUAUUUUUUUCUUUUCUUCUCUUUUCUUUUUUUUUCAGAGCACUCAUCUCUUGAGAUAAUAUAGCAAGUGGUAGUAGCAAGAUAACUUGAGCAUUUAUUUCACAAGGGAAAACAGAAAUAUUUUUGGCUAUUCUCUCCCGGAUUAGGAGUAGAAUAUUUUUGGGUGGUUCUGGAGAUGGACAUGGAUGGAUGUAUGUGGAUGGUACUUCCAGAGUAGAAGUAGCAUAUAUGAGUGAACGUGCAAGUGAAUCUUGAUUUAACCACAUGACAAGCUCCUAAGGGUCUACACAGCUAGACCACACUCAAUGCUCAUAAGCAGUAAAUAGUAAAUGUGUGGCUCAAAGUCUAGCAAGCAUGUAUAUAUGGCUGUGGUAGGAAUUUAAACUCUCAUCAUACAGGAACUCAUCAUGCAAUAUUUUAAAGAUUUUUCAAAGAUAAAAUUCUCCAGAAUUCUAGCAUCUCUAGGAAUAGAUAAACAGCAGCUCAACCUUCCCAUAUCAUAUCCGUUAACAACUUAGAUUUCAAAUCAAGUUUUCAUCCCACAAGUUUAGUUCUAGAGCAAGCUUUAAAUUAUAACAGUUAUGUCUAAACUUGAGAGAGAACUUCAAAUUUGCAAAUUAGACAGAGCAACUAUUCAUCAUAUCCAUGCUAGAGUUUUAUUAUUAAGAUUCAGAUUAGCAUAGCCACUUUAUUUAUUUAUUAAACACACUAAGAAAAGAUAUAUAUAAGCACAAAAUCUUUAUUUGGUCUUUCAUAGUUUAUGUAUUUUAAUAUUCUAAUAUAAUAUAAGUAUAAAGAUAGGUAGAAAUACUUAGCGAGAUAAAUGGGGUGCUCUCCCCCAAGCUGAAUUUUGACGUAAUUUCUCUUGAUGUAGCUAGCAGGUGGCAGAGGUGUAUUUGAAAGUCAGCAGCAUUCUGACAGCGAUUAGAAUGUCCUCCGUCUGCUAGUCUUCUUGAUUCUUAAAUUCUGUGGAGCUCAAAUAGACAACAAAGCUUGUGGAACUAAUUAAGUGUUAGCAUAAAUAUCUAGCCUUCAUCAUGUUGAGCUUUCUCAAUAAAUAUUACUCCCUGUUUUUAUAUUUUUAUUUUAUAAAGCAGAAAAGAAAUAUUUAUUUUAUUUUUAUGCCACCACAGUGAAGGUACUUAUGGGUUUUAUGCCACUCGUAUACUCACAUGGGGCUUACUAUAUUUUAACAUUUUUAUUUUCUUUUCAAGAUAGCAUGAUUAACUAAUAAUCUAUUUAAGGAAAGUAAAUAAUUAAAGGGAAAAGGGAAUGCAGAAAGGAUAAAUAUGGAUAACUAUCGAUCUUACCUUUCGGCGAGGGUUCAAUGUUUUAAGUCUUCUUAACAAGACUUCUCACCGUGUUCAUUCUUCAGGUGCGUCAUUUGAUUCAGGUGCGGACCAUGACGUCUGCACCUCUUGAUACGGUGUCACCCAUGUUCUUCGUUUGCCCAGCAGUUCGAAGUGCGGCGUUGGCAGUAACCUGCUCAGUGUGUUUGUGCUCGUAGACCUAGGUCCUUCACUUGGUAGAGUCUGAGAGUUAUAAAACUCCUCCGUGUCUUGCUCAAAGUGUACCUGCUCAUAGAGACAAGGCAGAGAUCAAGUGCAUGGGUCCUGUUGGUGGAAAACACCAACAGAACCUAAAGUGUAUUUGUUCUUGUUGACACCGUUUUUGGGCACGUGUCUAGGAUGGCAGGAUAGGGUGGCAGUACGAUGCGGGUUGCUGAUGAGGAUGGUUGCCGAUGAGGGAGAGGUUGAAUGUGACUAAGUCCACAGGCAGUAAUAUGGUGCCGAUGGCUGGAUAAAAAGGUCUGCCGAUGACUAUGGCAAGGGGAUUGCCGAUGAUGCAAAGGAGGAGUCCGGAAGCUGCCAGUUGUCAUGUGGAGGAGUUUCGGUUUGUCGCGAAGGAUAGUUUUAUUAUUUCCUUAAUUAUUUGCAUCGUUUUGUAUACGGAUUCCGUGUAAUUUGGAAUUCGAAUUCUAAUCGUGUCUGGUUGUAGCUCUUUGAGCAGGGUAUAAAUAUACACCCUAGGACCUUGUAAUAAUCAAUCAAGAAAUCAAUCAAACACACGUUUUUACUCAUAUUCCAGCAUCUACUUUUCGACGACUUCGUCAUACUUUUUUCUUUUUAUUACGAGUUCUUAGGAAUUCGUCGACUUAAGCUCGGCGUGUUCUCGAGUUCCGCGUGAGUACCUCUUAGCCGUGACAUCCGGGCGCAUCGCUGUUGUCAGGACUGAAGUAUUCCAGUUAUCACCUUUGCCGAUAGUAAGGUCAAAUCGGCUGGCACGCCUUAACGUUUGAAUCGGGUAUAUAAUACGAUUGCUUCUUCUCCUUUUGGAUCAAGUUGGCAGUUUAUAAUUGGUCUAUAAUGACUGCCAACAACCGAAUCGCCGCACAUUUGUCAAUGAGGUCGUACUAUACACAAGGAAAUGGGCCCCACUAAUUGGAGUGAAGAGUUGGAAGCAAUUACAGGCUUUAGUCAAAGAAAAAAUUAUGGAAGAGAUAUUGGUAUGAAGUGAACUAUUUUUAAUUCCUUCUCGUGUGCUCAGUAAAACUAAUUGCGAUAAACCAUUUGGUUGCUUUCUAAUUCUAAACAGCUUAAGUGGAACUUUGUCAACAUUGACGAUGUGGAUAAAAGAAAAGAGAAAAUAUGGAGCAUUGCAUAGGAUCGGUACACAGGAUGGCAAGCAACUCUGAGUACAACAUAUAGGGCAUCAAUUAUUAUGCUGAGAGGAUGAGGAACAUACCUGAGGAGAUAAACCUUGUUGAGUGGUGUUGACACUAGCUAACAGCACUUGAAUACUAGGUUGUCAUCCACAGCAUGGCACUAGAGUGUACUAUGGUAUUUAUACGCACACAGAUAAUCCGCAAGCGCACGGAUACCGUUGAAGCUUUUACCCGGUUAAAGGUUUUAUCGUAUCCACAGGGAAACAGGAGAACUGAUCUAUGCUCUAACUUAACCAAGAUAAGUAAAUAGGUGUAAAUAGGAAAGAUGGUAGAAUCGAAUAAGAACAAUAUUAAAGGUAAGAUAACAAUAGGUGAUAAUAUAGGAAUAGAGAGUAGAGCAAUUCUAGUAUAUGGGCGAUGGUAGCAGAAUAGAGAGGAUAACUAUGGUUUCUCUACUUCAAAGGGGUAUGUCUAUGUCUGGGACAAACCACGUGAUAAGAGUACACCACAAAGGAUGCUUAUCCUUAGGCCGAUAAACCCUACCCGUCCUGCUAACGAGAGGUGGACUACAGAGGACCAACGUAACUGUCACCUACGCGGCCUACCACACGAUCCAGCUAGACAGGGGAUAUCCACAAGUAAUCUAGAUCUAAGCACCUCGCUUACACCUAUACUACAACUCUCACCUAUAGCGUCCUAUAGAUUAGAAUACUCAAAAGAGUUGUGAACCAGAACAUACAUAAUUAGUAAUUGCAUAAUGAAUUAGAAGUAGAUUACCAGAGUCAUCCCAUGAGCAAGCUUGAUUAGAGCUUGAUCAUGACGAACUACAACCGGAGGAAGAACCGACAGGCCGGCCUCUCCUCCAAUCCUCCCUCGCUGUCCAUCUUGCUACUAUCUAGAUCUACUCUAGUUUAGAGAAGAGAGGAGAGCUCUCAUCUCUAAACCCUAGCUUUUGCUCUAUCUAUGAAUAAUGAAUAAUGAUCAAGGGGAGCCUCCUCCAGGGGCCAGGGGGUCUAGUUAUAUAGUCCCCUCAAUUGAACCUGGGCCGUCGGAUCAAACCGACAUUGAUUGAACGGUUAUUCUUGAUCCUUUAGGUCGGUGGAGAUCUCCCGAGAGAAAGAGUCCCGAUUGGACUCCAGAGGUGGGCGGGCGCCCAGGGAAACAGGGCGGGCGCCCUGCCUCUGGCCCCUCUCGGCCUCCCGUUCGUUCCCGUGGCUUCUGGAGUCUUUUAGAUGUAAGAUAAUUGUGCGGCACGUUAAUAUCUCUAUGUAAUCCCGACUUGUGGGCCUUUCUUUCGUAUUUCCUGAUAACCCCCUACAGAAAUAGACAAACACCAAAACUCGUGGAAUUCUGUCAGAUAAAACCCUAAGUCUAGAUGUUGAUUUCAUUUGGAUCCUUUUCUUUGUUUUUUUGAUAAUUAAAUUUGAUACUUAAGGACCGUCAACAAACUCCCCCAAGCUUACCUCUUGCUCGUCUCUGAGCAAGGAUAGACUCAGCAAUGGAUCAGAAGUUGUUGCAAUAUUUUAAAAAUUUGACGGUACACAUGCUUUUAAAUAAGAUCUCAUCUCUGAGUUAGAGUAAACUGUCAAGAACUGAAACUUACUUACUUUAUCUUUCACCAUGGGACUUGUAACCGUCACUUCUGUCUUGAGUAGUUAAAAGAUAGAACAGUCUAGCCAAGUGCCAUGUCUCUUAUUCUUGAUCAGCUAUAGCUCUGGAGUUUUCGCAGAUUUUCAAAUAAAACUCAGAGAUUCCUUGUAUGACUAUCUAAAUCUCUCUUUUGUGGUAUUUCUGGAUCCUUACCAAGGCAGUGAUGGUAUAUGCCUUCUCUCAAGAUAUGUGGUAUUUGUGGUAUAAGGCAUAGUGACAUUGCCUUCUCGCUCACCCUACUUUAAUAAGGCUUCAAUAUCUGGAGCUCAUAGGUGGGAGAUAAAGUAUACAUACUUACAAGACAUUUAUUGUAUAGUCAAACCAUGGAUCCAAAUAAACAAAUCAAUAAGCCAAAUCAAGAUGUGCAUGUGUGGCGAAUGAAUGGUGUAUGGUGAUUAUGGUGAUAACAAUGGUGAAAGUCUAAUUCUACUUUUGCUCUUUUGAGGGGAUACAUACCUUCCUUGCUUUUUGAAACUUUAUGAGGAGAAUGAGAUGCUCUUCUUUUUCUUUCCUCUUAGGUGGGUAUCUUGUACCCCUAAUUCUACUGUCGGACACUUGUCCAUUUUUACCUCUCGUCUCACUUUUUCUUUCUUUCGAGGUUCCGGGCACUUGCCCCUUUUUAUUUCCUCGUUUAUUUUUUUCUUUUCUUCUCUUUUCUUUUUUUUUCAGAGCACUCAUCUCUUGAGAUAAUAUAGCAAGUGGUAGUAGCAAGAUAACUUGAGCAUUUAUUUCACAAGGGAAAACAGAAAUAUUUUUGGCUAUUCUCUCCCGGAUUAGGAGUAGAAUAUUUUUGGGUGGUUCUGGAGAUGGACAUGGAUGGAUGUAUGUGGAUGGUACUUCCAGAGUAGAAGUAGCAUAUAUGAGUGAACGUGCAAGUGAAUCUUGAUUUAACCACAUGACAAGCUCCUAAGGGUCUACACAGCUAGACCACACUCAAUGCUCAUAAGCAGUAAAUAGUAAAUGUGUGGCUCAAAGUCUAGCAAGCAUGUAUAUAUGGCUGUGGUAGGAAUUUAAACUCUCAUCAUACAGGAACUCAUCAUGCAAUAUUUUAAAGAUUUUUCAAAGAUAAAAUUCUCCAGAAUUCUAGCAUCUCUAGGAAUAGAUAAACAGCAGCUCAACCUUCCCAUAUCAUAUCCGUUAACAACUUAGAUUUCAAAUCAAGUUUUCAUCCCACAAGUUUAGUUCUAGAGCAAGCUUUAAAUUAUAACAGUUAUGUCUAAACUUGAGAGAGAACUUCAAAUUUGCAAAUUAGACAGAGCAACUAUUCAUCAUAUCCAUGCUAGAGUUUUAUUAUUAAGAUUCAGAUUAGCAUAGCCACUUUAUUUAUUUAUUAAACACACUAAGAAAAGAUAUAUAUAAGCACAAAAUCUUUAUUUGGUCUUUCAUAGUUUAUGUAUUUUAAUAUUCUAAUAUAAUAUAAGUAUAAAGAUAGGUAGAAAUACUUAGCGAGAUAAAUGGGGUGCUCUCCCCCAAGCUGAAUUUUGACGUAAUUUCUCUUGAUGUAGCUAGCAGGUGGCAGAGGUGUAUUUGAAAGUCAGCAGCAUUCUGACAGCGAUUAGAAUGUCCUCCGUCUGCUAGUCUUCUUGAUUCUUAAAUUCUGUGGAGCUCAAAUAGACAACAAAGCUUGUGGAACUAAUUAAGUGUUAGCAUAAAUAUCUAGCCUUCAUCAUGUUGAGCUUUCUCAAUAAAUAUUACUCCCUGUUUUUAUAUUUUUAUUUUAUAAAGCAGAAAAGAAAUAUUUAUUUUAUUUUUAUGCCACCACAGUGAAGGUACUUAUGGGUUUUAUGCCACUCGUAUACUCACAUGGGGCUUACUAUAUUUUAACAUUUUUAUUUUCUUUUCAAGAUAGCAUGAUUAACUAAUAAUCUAUUUAAGGAAAGUAAAUAAUUAAAGGGAAAAGGGAAUGCAGAAAGGAUAAAUAUGGAUAACUAUCGAUCUUACCUUUCGGCGAGGGUUCAAUGUUUUAAGUCUUCUUAACAAGACUUCUCACCGUGUUCAUUCUUCAGGUGCGUCAUUUGAUUCAGGUGCGGACCAUGACGUCUGCACCUCUUGAUACGGUGUCACCCAUGUUCUUCGUUUGCCCAGCAGUUCGAAGUGCGGCGUUGGCAGUAACCUGCUCAGUGUGUUUGUGCUCGUAGACCUAGGUCCUUCACUUGGUAGAGUCUGAGAGUUAUAAAACUCCUCCGUGUCUUGCUCAAAGUGUACCUGCUCAUAGAGACAAGGCAGAGAUCAAGUGCAUGGGUCCUGUUGGUGGAAAACACCAACAGAACCUAAAGUGUAUUUGUUCUUGUUGACACCGUUUUUGGGCACGUGUCUAGGAUGGCAGGAUAGGGUGGCAGUACGAUGCGGGUUGCUGAUGAGGAUGGUUGCCGAUGAGGGAGAGGUUGAAUGUGACUAAGUCCACAGGCAGUAAUAUGGUGCCGAUGGCUGGAUAAAAAGGUCUGCCGAUGACUAUGGCAAGGGGAUUGCCGAUGAUGCAAAGGAGGAGUCCGGAAGCUGCCAGUUGUCAUGUGGAGGAGUUUCGGUUUGUCGCGAAGGAUAGUUUUAUUAUUUCCUUAAUUAUUUGCAUCGUUUUGUAUACGGAUUCCGUGUAAUUUGGAAUUCGAAUUCUAAUCGUGUCUGGUUGUAGCUCUUUGAGCAGGGUAUAAAUAUACACCCUAGGACCUUGUAAUAAUCAAUCAAGAAAUCAAUCAAACACACGUUUUUACUCAUAUUCCAGCAUCUACUUUUCGACGACUUCGUCAUACUUUUUUCUUUUUAUUACGAGUUCUUAGGAAUUCGUCGACUUAAGCUCGGCGUGUUCUCGAGUUCCGCGUGAGUACCUCUUAGCCGUGACAUCCGGGCGCAUCGCUGUUGUCAGGACUGAAGUAUUCCAGUUAUCACCUUUGCCGAUAGUAAGGUCAAAUCGGCUGGCACGCCUUAACGUUUGAAUCGGGUAUUAGCCCUUUGUGUUUGCAGAUCAGUUUUGCAUCAACACAUCUUUUGGCACGCUCGGUGGGACAGAUUCAAGAUCA
Molecule: long non-coding RNA, 8953 nt
Filed under: Sorghum bicolor (sorghum)
Lineage: Eukaryota; Viridiplantae; Streptophyta; Magnoliopsida; Poales; Poaceae
Description: long non-coding RNA (SBIC_LNC017763)
Source: RNAcentral